This 726-nucleotide ribosomal RNA is filed under the name Triticum aestivum (bread wheat). Its description in RNAcentral is "partial small subunit ribosomal RNA". Lineage: Eukaryota; Viridiplantae; Streptophyta; Magnoliopsida; Poales; Poaceae. The record is from RNAcentral.
AUGAAAAUCCUAGGCUGGAACUGCCGUGGUAUGCUCUCCAACACGGCAGUUCGUGAGCUUCUGGAGCUACAGAAGCGUACAAGGGCAGAUUUAAUUUUCCUCUCUGAAUCCCAUUUGAAUAAUUGUAAAGCCGAUGAGCUUCGUCGCGUAUUAGGUUUUGAUUCUAUGUUUGUAGUGGAAAGUGAUGGUAAGGCCGGAGGCCUCGCUUUGUUUUAUCAUGAGUCCAAUAAAAUUGAGUUGAACUAUGUCUCGCCCCAUUUUAUUGAUAUUGUUUUUAUGUAUGAGAAUGUGGUUCAGUGGCGGUUCACAGGCUUCUAUGGUCAUCCGAAAUGGAAUGAACGUCAUCUAUCUUGGGAUGACAUUCGCAAUUUACAUAGUAAGAGCAACCAUCCUUGGGUGGUUUUGGGGGAUUUUAAUGAAAUUUUAUACCCUUCAGAAAAAGAGGGUGGUGUAGCUAGACCACUUGGUAUGAUGAGAGAGUUCCGUGAAUGCCUAAUGGAUUGUGGUCUCGACGAUUUAGGCUAUACAGGCGACCUUUUCACUUGGAGUAGAGGCGAAAUUCGUGAGCGUCUUGAUCGUGCGGUCUGUAAUUUAGCGUGGGCAAAUAAAUUCCCACGUGCGGGAGUGACCAACGAAGAACAUGUUCAUUCUGACCAUCGUCCAAUCGUACUAGAUAUUGAUUUUUUGGAUGAAAAAAAUCUUCAAACGACCAGAGGGACGUGUUAA